Molecule: non-coding RNA, 71 nt
Organism: Dallia pectoralis (Alaska blackfish)
Lineage: Eukaryota; Metazoa; Chordata; Actinopteri; Esociformes; Umbridae
Source: the annotation of a GenBank genome assembly
AGUUGGGAGCUCAGUGGUAGAGCGCAUGCUUUGUGUGUAUGAUGUCCUGGGUUCAAUUACCUGCCUGGUUA